RNAcentral lists this transfer-messenger RNA (425 nucleotides) under Candidatus Kaiserbacteria bacterium RIFCSPLOWO2_01_FULL_55_19. It matches the Rfam family "transfer-messenger RNA". Rfam says of the family: Bacterial tmRNA, also known as 10Sa RNA or SsrA, is named for its dual tRNA and mRNA-like properties. Lineage: Bacteria; Candidatus Kaiseribacteriota. RNAcentral also lists the same sequence under 1 other name. The record is from RNAcentral.
GGGGGUGACCGGCUUUGACGGUCUGUACCUUGAAAGCUGUGCGACGCAGUGCACGCUCGUAUGCCACUACAAUCCAACGAGCAACCAAACUUGCCAAGAAUACUCUUGCAAGCGCGGUGAAGUCGCCUUACUUCGGUAAGGUCGGUGACAUCGCGUUCGCCUACGCGACGGCUCGCGGCUAACGCCCGACUCUUCGCCUAACGCGACAUUUAUUCUCUACCGGCGCUCACAGCGCGAGAUUAAGUGGAAUAUUCUGUGAGAUCGAUGUCUGGUCUCCCGCCCAGUACAUCUAAAUAAGGGAUCGGGUAGGAAUGGUUUCGUCUGCGUUCCUCGCAUCCUGCCUUAAAGAUAACGCUGACUACGCGUCGUAGACCCACUUUCAUAGACGGAUUCGGACCGGGGUCCAAUUCCCCGCACCUCCACUC